This 637-nucleotide long non-coding RNA is filed under the name Phoenix dactylifera (date palm). Its description in RNAcentral is "long non-coding RNA (PDAC_LNC008389)". The record is from RNAcentral. Lineage: Eukaryota; Viridiplantae; Streptophyta; Magnoliopsida; Arecales; Arecaceae.
CCAGCCGACCUCGUUUCAAAGCAACGUCCUAGGAUCUCGCGAUGCAGCCAGCUUCCUAGAUCCUCCGCGCGUUCCCAAUCUUCCAUGCGGUCACCAGCCUUCCAUUCCUCUUCUCCCGCGAUGCAUCCAAACCGACGUCCGAGAUAGUCUUCGCAUCCUCCAAGCGUAUCCCCUGCUUUCGGAUUCCUUCCAUUCGCAAUGGCCUUCAACCACCAAUGGAUCAGUCUUCAACAUCCAAACUAUUGCAAAGAUCAUCCUCCCAGAUUUCUUGCUCCAUAUUUGAUCUCCUCACGCGAUGCAAUCUUCCCAGCGUCCGCGAGUCAAGCGUCAUCUUCCAAGAUUUCCUCCUAGCCGAUUCUAAAAUCCAACAUCACUCCCUCUGGAUCACGAAACAGAAUCCCCUGUUUUAAGAUCAGAUCGCGUCCCAACACGUCCGCAGCCUUCUUCUCGUCCGCAUCCUCUGUGCAUCUCAGUGUGAUCGAUCGUUAUUCACCUUCCACCAAAUCCAGAUCCUCUUCCGCGUUAAAGAAGCAUCGGAUCACGUCCACUGCCCGCAAGAAUCCAGCCGAAUCUAGCUUUCUCUCGAUCGCAUCCAGCUGCCCAUCCUCCGUGGAUCCGGCCUUCCCUUCCAACUCUU